UGAGCUUUAAUAGGACUAUUCUCCAUCACAUAAUUGUGUUGUUAAAAGCCAGGAAUGACAUGCUAACUGUCCAUGCUAGAAGGCCUUCAUCUUGCAUUAUCCAGCAGAUUCAUCAAGGUAUGAUGCUAUACCUUCAGUUAUGAAUACAAAGCUUUUCAUCACUUCUCUCAGUUUUUAAGAUUGCAAAGUGAAAACCCUUGUUCAUCUUUUAUUUUUGACCCCAGACUCUCAAGAGGAUUUGAGCAGUGAACUAGUGUGUGCUUCAGUGGGUACAUGAUGUCAGACAGUGGGCUACUGAGGGAUUCUGUAGGUACCAGAUGUGAUGACCAACAUAACCUUCAGAAAUCAACUGAACAAAUGUUUCUAGCCUUUAUAAUCAGACUGAAUCCAGCAACAUCCUCACCAAGAAGAAGAGUUUGAUGCGUACA
Molecule: long non-coding RNA, 428 nt
Organism: Carassius auratus (goldfish)
Lineage: Eukaryota; Metazoa; Chordata; Actinopteri; Cypriniformes; Cyprinidae
Exons: 3
Source: RefSeq, a predicted model, not a curated record